Molecule: ribosomal RNA, 253 nt
Filed under: uncultured bacterium
Lineage: Bacteria
Description: partial 16S ribosomal RNA
Rfam family: Bacterial small subunit ribosomal RNA
Source: RNAcentral
UACGGAGGAUGCAAGCGUUAUCCGGAAUUAUUGGGCGUAAAGCGUCCGCAGGUGGCACUUCAAGUCUGUCGUCAAAGACUGGGGCUUAACCCUGGAAAGGCGAUGGAAACUGAAAGGCUAGAGAGAGGUAGGGGUAGAGGGAAUUCCCAGUGUAGCGGUGAAAUGCGUAGAGAUUGGGAAGAACAUCGGUGGCGAAAGCGCUCUACUGGACCUCAUCUGACACUCAGGGACGAAAGCUAGGGGAGCGAAUGGG